Non-coding RNA from Vicia faba (fava bean), 282 nucleotides. NCBI's taxonomy places the organism in Eukaryota, Viridiplantae, Streptophyta, Magnoliopsida, Fabales, Fabaceae. The record is from the annotation of a GenBank genome assembly.
AUGUUUUGUUUAAGUGUGGGAGAGGAUCUUUACUUGCUUCCUUACUUGCUUUCUAAUUUAAAUUUAUUUCUUUUUAGUAUAUCUAUUUAUUUUCUUUCUUUUUCAGUCUGUUAUAGAGUCCUUGCAUGGGUUGUUGGGUCACUUAUGCAUAGUUUCUACUUUUUAUUAGGCUUUCCCUGUUUCUUGAGCCAUACUAGAAUUUUUUUGAUUUUUUUGAAAAACAAAAGAAAGAACAGUGACCAAAUCUUUGAAAUUUUAGGCUUUUGGACAAACAAAGGAUAG